GAGGGGAUAGCUCAGUGGCAGAGCACAUGCUUAGCAUGCACGAGGUCCUGGGUUCAAUCCCCAGUACCUCCA
RNAcentral lists this transfer RNA (72 nucleotides) under Camelus bactrianus (Bactrian camel). It matches the Rfam family "tRNA". From Rfam's summary of the family: Transfer RNA (tRNA) molecules are approximately 80 nucleotides in length. Lineage: Eukaryota; Metazoa; Chordata; Mammalia; Artiodactyla; Camelidae. RNAcentral also lists the same sequence under 2 other names. The record is from Rfam by way of RNAcentral.